This 411-nucleotide ribosomal RNA is filed under the name Triticum aestivum (bread wheat). Its description in RNAcentral is "partial small subunit ribosomal RNA". Lineage: Eukaryota; Viridiplantae; Streptophyta; Magnoliopsida; Poales; Poaceae. The record is from RNAcentral.
AUGGCCAAACACAAACUGAAGACCAUUGAUUCUUUCUUCAAGAAGAAAAAUAGAAUUGAUGCAGAGUCGGUUGUUGCUUGCUCUGAUUUGGAAGAGGAAGAGGAAGGGGAAGGGGAAGGGGAAGGGAAAGAAGAAGAAGAAGAAGAAGAAGAAGAAGAAGAAGAAGAAGAGGAAGAAAAUGCCCCACUCAGAAUUCAGAGGGGCCCUGAUGGUAGUGGUGUUUUGGUACUUGAAAGAGACCCAGGGUUGCGUUGCCAACUCUGGGAUUUUCCUAUCAACGACCAAGAAAAAGCAAGAAAAGCUUAUGUGAAGCGUGGAGCAUAUCACUUUAAAAAGGAACUAUACCCUCCUAGUGGUCCAGCAAGCCACCCACGUAGGUUUCAGUAUCAUUGGUUCAAGGAAUUUCCUUGA